CAGGCCUAACACAUGCAAGUCGAACGAGAAAGGAAGCUUCGGCUUCCGAGUAAAGUGGCGAACGGGUGCGUAACACGUAAGUAAUCUACCCUGAACUCUGGAAUAACUCCCCGAAAGGGGGGCUAAGACUGGAUAGGGUCCUCGAGGUGCAAGCCGCGGGGGGAAAGCAGGCCUCUGUCACAUGCUUGCGGUUCAGGAUGAGCUUGCGUCCCAUUAGUUUGUUGGUGAGGUAACGGCUCACCAAGACUACGAUGGGUAGCUGGUCUGAGAGGAUGAUCAGCCACACUGGCACUGAGACACGGGCCAGACUCCUACGGGAGGCAGCAGUGGGGAAUUUUGCGCAAUGGGCGAAAGCCUGACGCAGUAACGCCGUGUGGAGGACGAAGGCCUUCGGGUUGUAAACUCCUGUCAGGGGGAAAGAAGGGCUGGUUGAGAAAAUAUUUCAUCCGGUUCUGACGGUACCCCCAAAGGAAGCCCCGGCUAAUUCCGUGCCAGCAGCCGCGGUAAUACGGAAGGGGCUAGCGUUGUUCGGAAUCAUUGGGCGUAAAGGGCGCGUAGGUGGUCUUAUGUGUCCGUCGUGAAAGUGCACGGCUCAACCGUGUUUGGUCGGCGGAAACUGUAAGACUUGAGGCUGGGAGGGGCUAGAGGUAUUCCCUGUGUAGCGGUGAAAUGCGUAGAGAUGGGGGAGAACACUCGUGGCGAAGGCGUCUAGCUGGACCAGUCCUGACA
RNAcentral lists this ribosomal RNA (729 nucleotides) under uncultured bacterium. RNAcentral's name for it is "bacterial SSU rRNA". It matches the Rfam family "Bacterial small subunit ribosomal RNA", at positions 43 to 745 of the family's 1533-position model. The record is from RNAcentral.